UAUAUUAUUUGUGGACUAUUGUGAAGGG
Molecule: non-coding RNA, 28 nt
Filed under: Mus musculus (house mouse)
Lineage: Eukaryota; Metazoa; Chordata; Mammalia; Rodentia; Muridae
Source: RNAcentral